RNAcentral lists this ribosomal RNA (602 nucleotides) under uncultured soil bacterium. Its description in RNAcentral is "bacterial SSU rRNA". It matches the Rfam family "Bacterial small subunit ribosomal RNA", at positions 68 to 655 of the family's 1533-position model. The record is from RNAcentral.
GGCAGCACGGGAGCUUGCUCCUGGUGGCGAGUGGCGAACGGGUGAGUAAUGUAUCGGAACGUACCCCGUCGUGGGGGAUAACUCUCCGAAAGGAGAGCUAAUACCGCAUACGACCCGAGGGUGAAAGCGGGGGACCUGGGGUAACCUGGGCCUCGCGCGAUGGGAGCGGCCGAUAUCGGAUUAGCUAGUUGGUGGGGUAAAGGCCUACCAAGGCGACGAUCCGUAGCGGGUCUGAGAGGACGACCCGCCACACUGGAACUGAGACACGGUCCAGACUCCUACGGGAGGCAGCAGUGGGGAAUUUUGGACAAUGGGCGCAAGCCUGAUCCAGCCAUUCCGCGUGAGUGAAGAAGGCCUUCGGGUUGUAAAGCUCUUUCAGCAGGAACGAAACGGUGGGUCUUAAUACGGCCUGCUAAUGACGGUACCUGCAGAAGAAGCACCGGCUAACUACGUGCCAGCAGCCGCGGUAAUACGUAGGGUGCGAGCGUUAAUCGGAAUUACUGGGCGUAAAGCGUGCGCAGGCGGCGACAUAAGACAGAUGUGAAAUCCCCGGGCUCAACCUGGGAACGGCGUUUGUGACUGUGUGGCUAGAGUGUAGCAGA